This 207-nucleotide ribosomal RNA is filed under the name uncultured bacterium. Its description in RNAcentral is "partial 16S ribosomal RNA". It matches the Rfam family "Bacterial small subunit ribosomal RNA", at positions 568 to 774 of the family's 1533-position model. The record is from RNAcentral.
CACGUAGGCGGCCCGUCAAGCGUCUUGUGAAAUCCCUCGGCUCAACCGAGGAAUUGCUGGGCGAACUGGCGGGCUUGAGACAGGCAAGGGUGCGUGGAACUCUUGGUGGAGCGGUGAAAUGCGUAGAUAUCAAGAGGAACGCCGGUGGCGAAAGCGAUGCACUGGGCCUGACCUGACGCUGAGGUGCGAAAGCCAGGGUAGCGAACG